GCACUGGUGGUUCAGUGGUAGAAAUCUCUCCUUCCUUGUAGGAGACCUGAGUUCAAUUCCCAGCCAAUGCG
Molecule: transfer RNA, 71 nt
Filed under: Loxodonta africana (African savanna elephant)
Lineage: Eukaryota; Metazoa; Chordata; Mammalia; Proboscidea; Elephantidae
Rfam family: tRNA
About the family: Transfer RNA (tRNA) molecules are approximately 80 nucleotides in length. Their secondary structure includes four short double-helical elements and three loops (D, anti-codon, and T loops).
Source: Rfam by way of RNAcentral